RNAcentral lists this long non-coding RNA (304 nucleotides) under Vigna radiata. RNAcentral describes it as "long non-coding RNA (VRAD_LNC016696)". Lineage: Eukaryota; Viridiplantae; Streptophyta; Magnoliopsida; Fabales; Fabaceae. The record is from RNAcentral.
AGGCGUUCCAAUCAUGCUGCAGCUGCUGCCUUGUCCGAGAGGCUUUGGGCUUUUAUUGUUUCAAGCUGCUCAAGCUGCUCCAAGCUUUAUUUUAGGCCCUACAACACAAAGUGUAAUUGUUUUAGUUUAGAGAAGAAGGAUUAGUAUAAGUCACCUUCCAUAGAAGCAAAAUGAUAGGUGAUCCUUCUUCCUCUUGAAUCUUCUUAGCCAUGGCUCUAGUAAGAGGUCCAAUAUAGUUCCUUGAUGGUCUUCCAUCAGUCGGGGUCGUAUCUGAUAAUCUGCCCCCUCACGUAGCUCAUAUACC